UACGUAGGGUGCGAGCGUUAAUCGGAUUUACUGGGCGUAAAGCGUGCGCAGGCGGUUUGUUAAGCGAGAUGCGAAAGCCCCGGGCUCAACCUGGGAACCGCAUUUCGAACUGGCAAACUAGAGUCUUGUAGAGGGGGGUAGAAUUCCAGGUGUAGCGGUGAAAUGCGUAGAGAUCUGGAGGAAUACCGGUGGCGAAGGCGGCCCCCUGGACAAAGACUGACGCUCAGGCACGAAAGCGUGGGUAGCAAACAGG
Molecule: ribosomal RNA, 253 nt
Filed under: uncultured microorganism
Description: partial 16S ribosomal RNA
Rfam family: Bacterial small subunit ribosomal RNA
Source: RNAcentral